AAAAAAAAAAAAGGAUUUUAUAAGUUGUGGGUAAAACAGAAAAAAUCAAAAAAAGAUUAUUGGGCUGGGUAUUACAAGAAAAUACUAUUUCAGUAUUUAUACUUCAAAAUUAAUCCAUUGUGUUACUUGCAAACAAGACUGUGAACUAAUGCUCAGGUUAAUGAGACAAAUCAAAUACAACUCAGAAAUCUGACCUGUGGUUUGGGUCAGAGCCAGUGAUGAUCAUCUUCACUGCAGCACUACAAAUCACCAGAGCACACCUGUGUGUGUGUGUGUGUGUGUGUGUGUGUGUGUGUGUGUGUGUUUGUAAGGGGCUGAUGUUCUUUUCCACCUCCACAUUACAUUAGCAGAAACGGUAAUGGUACCUCACUGUUCUCUGUCUGCUCGCGGUACUCACGCUAUCACAGAGGCAACACCUGAGCAGCACAAGAACACACUCCAUUAGAAAAGCAAACAGGGUCUUUACAGACAACCAAAGGUGCAAAGCUUAAGUAGGUUUCCACUUUUCCCCUGCGCUGUACACAGACUCUGAUGUUUGUUCAGUCGCCACUGAUAAGCCUGUUUGUGAAACAAUGGACAAAAUGAACUGAACCAGAAAUGGAAAGCAUGCUAAAGUUAUAACACAAUAAUAUUUACAAGCACAUUUGCAGCACCGAUCAUGUAAACACCAUUUCCGAAGAUGCUCUGGAUGAUUGUCAAUUCAUGCUGGAUAACAUGAUCAUCGGGUUUUGAGCAAACCUGUGGAGUCCAUGCCGGCUUGACAUUCAGGCCUGCAGCUCUGUGAAGAAGCAACAGUGACACUGAGGCUUGCUAACAGCACAAGCUCUUAGCAGAGAGGUGUGAGGCAGUAAAACAAGCCCUGUCAGAUUAAAACAUCUCUACAUGGAGCGAUGAUGUCCCUGUUCGACCCCAGUCAUGUUCAUGUAGCAUACAUGUGCUACUAUGCAGAGUUUAGCAAAUGUAAAAGGUCGUUCAUAUAUGCAGAGAAAUUUUUAGUUGCAUGUUCUUCAUGUCCUUGUGCCAUUCUUUUCUUUUAUGUAGGCUUUUAGUUUGUGGACUGUUCAGCUGCUGUUAUAUGUUGCUUUUGUGUCCAGUUUAGCUCCUUAUGUUCUUUUAUAUCUAUAGCCCUUGGUUUCUUCAGUCCUUGGUUUCUUUCUACAUUUAAAUGGACUGCCUCAUGUUUGCUUUCCUCUUGUCUCUAAGAUUCCUCAUGCUGUGGUUUUGUUUGAAGUUUAAUAAUA
Molecule: long non-coding RNA, 1241 nt
Filed under: Carassius auratus (goldfish)
Lineage: Eukaryota; Metazoa; Chordata; Actinopteri; Cypriniformes; Cyprinidae
Description: lncRNA (ENSCARG00000046000.1)
Source: RNAcentral